ACUCUGAGUCAUCGGGGAGGGUCUCUUCAUGACGGGAUCGAGAAUUUGCUCCAGCCAGCUUCCUGGAGAUGUUUCACCCUCAGAGGAGCUGCACUUGUAGAGGCCUUCAUCAGACUUGGAGACAUUGUUAAUGGUUAUCUCUUCUGCAGGACUGCCCUGCAGGAGGACGCCAUCCUUGUAGAAAUGAGCUAAGAGCUUGUUGGAACUGGUCUUGCUUCUGCAGCACAGAGUCACAAUGUGUCCCUCCAUCACAGGAAGAGCAGGACUGUCCAAAAUUACAGAACCAGCUGUGGAAAGAAAGAAAAAGCUGUUAUUAAUAUGUUUUAUUAAUUAUUAACAUUGCAGUUACACCCAGUUGGAAACUGAAGAUAUUUUCCACAGUUCAGGAAGAGAAAUUACACGUGUGAAAAUACAGAUAUAAGAAUGUACACUACAAAAUGACAUCUGAGAUUAUAAAGGGUGCACUAGUCGCUAAAGUGUGAGCUGGCAAUAGCUAUGAAAAAUAGUGUAAUGUGACACCAGAAGGUAAGUAUGACUCCUGACACAAUGUAGGGCUGUUAUGACAGUGAUACGUAUGUGUAUCACUGUCUGUAAUUACAUAUCAUAUAUGCAUGUACAUUAGUCGUAUGUGACUAAUGUACAUGCAUAUAUGAUAUGUAAUUACUGUUUGAAAUAAAGUUUCACUACAUUUGUUUAACUGAGGGUGCAAAAUAUUAAACAGAGUACAAUGUAUGCCUUUGCUCCCCCAUAGAAACAGCCCUUGUGGUAAUAUAAAAAAGACUGGUGUCAACGUAUUGCUUUUUAUAUGCCCGUCAUUCACCCUAACAUCUCGCAGUGACUCCAGUUUUAUUCUCUCAAAAAAACUGUACAUAAUCCAGGCAGCGAUUACAUUCAUCAGCACAAAUAAAAUGAGCCUCAAACAUCUCAAAGAAGAGGAAGCAAUAAUUCCCAAAGGUUUUCAUAUUUCCAUGAACAAAAUCUACGUUAAAUAAAAAAUGAUGGGCAAAUAUAUGCGAAACAUGAGGUAAUUAUACUUCAAAUUACAUGUAGUGGCUAGAAAUACAAUAAACAUACCAGUGACAGUGA
Molecule: long non-coding RNA, 1086 nt
Organism: Dicentrarchus labrax (European seabass)
Lineage: Eukaryota; Metazoa; Chordata; Actinopteri; Moronidae
Exons: 2
Source: RefSeq, a predicted model, not a curated record